GAGAUGAAAGCAGAAAUCCGAUUUAAAUCUCGGCAACAAGAUCGUAAAUUCCAACCCACCCAUUCGAAUUGUUCAUGCUGAUGGAUAAUUGCUUAAUUGCGGAUCAAAUAGAUCAUUCGAUCGAACAAACAAUGGGACCCCAUCGCUUUCAUAUACAAUAACUUUUUUCCGAACCUCCCCGGGCGAGGAAUUGGAAAUUGAAAAAAAAUUAACCCAGACGUGCCUGGAAUAAAGUUUUGUAUGUUCGGCAUGCGGUUUUUCUGAAAUGCGCAAUUGACGCCCGCCGGUUCGCCUGAAAUUAUUUCAACUUUUGCGCUAUAUAGAGACCUAAGACCGAUUUCUAUGGCCGACUGUUUAUUUGCAUAUUCCGCUUUAUGGCUCAAGUGAAAAAUUCCGAAAAAAUUCAAGGUGGAAUCGAACGAGAAUCGUUGGAGUAUAAUGCCCAGCAAGAUCAACAACUAGUCUCUCACUCUUAUCAAGUGAUUCCAAAAUAUGUAUCUUUAGAGCCAAAUAAACAACUGAACUGAAAUGAA
Drosophila yakuba is the source of this 533-nucleotide long non-coding RNA. RefSeq lists it as uncharacterized. NCBI's taxonomy places the organism in Eukaryota, Metazoa, Arthropoda, Insecta, Diptera, Drosophilidae. The record is from RefSeq and is a predicted model, not a curated record. The transcript is spliced from 2 exons.